Molecule: ribosomal RNA, 379 nt
Filed under: uncultured eukaryote
Lineage: Eukaryota
Description: partial 18S ribosomal RNA
Rfam family: Eukaryotic small subunit ribosomal RNA
Source: RNAcentral
CAAUAGCGUAUAUUUAAGUUGUUGCAGUUAAAAAGCUCGUAGUUGGAUUUCGGAUGGGACUUGCCGGUCCGUCGUUUCGAUGUGCACUGGCCAGUCCUAUCUUGUUGUCGGGGACUAGCUCCUGGGCUUCACUGUCCGGGACUAGGAGCUGACGAGGUUACUUUGAGUAAAUUAGAGUGUUCAAAGCAAGCCUACGCUCUGAAUACAUUAGCAUGGAAUAACACGAUAGGGCUCUGGCUUAUCUUGUUGGUCUGUGAGACCAGAGUAAUGAUUAAGAGGGACAGUCGGGGGCAUUCGUAUUUCAUUGUCAGAGGUGAAAUUCUUGGAUUUAUGAAAGACGAACUUCUGCGAAAGCAUUUGUCAAGGAUGUUUUCAUUAA